This 484-nucleotide ribosomal RNA is filed under the name uncultured bacterium. Its description in RNAcentral is "partial 16S ribosomal RNA". It matches the Rfam family "Bacterial small subunit ribosomal RNA", at positions 28 to 523 of the family's 1533-position model. The record is from RNAcentral.
GACGAACGCUGGCGGCGUGCUUAACACAUGCAAGUCGAACAAUGAACCCGGAGCUUGCUCCGGCGGAUUAGUGGCGAACGGGUGAGUAACACGUGAGUAACCUGCCCUUGACUCUGGGAUAACUGCUAGAAAUGGUAGCUAAUACCGGAUACGACCCUCGGUGGCAUCACCAGGGGCUGGAAAGAAUUUCGGUCAAGGAUGGACUCGCGGCCUAUCAGCUAGUUGGGGAGGUAACGGCUCACCAAGGCGACGACGGGUAGCCGGCCUGAGAGGGUGACCGGCCACACUGGGACUGAGACACGGCCCAGACUCCUACGGGAGGCAGCAGUGGGGAAUAUUGCACAAUGGGCGCAAGCCUGAUGCAGCAACGCCGCGUGAGGGAUGACGGCCUUCGGGUCGUAAACCUCUUUUAGUAGGGAAUAAGCGAAAGUGACGGUACCUGCAGAAAAAGCACCGGCUAACUACGUGCCAGCAGCCGCGGUAA